This 75-nucleotide transfer RNA is filed under the name Thermus sp. Its description in RNAcentral is "tRNA-Trp". It matches the Rfam family "tRNA". Rfam says of the family: Transfer RNA (tRNA) molecules are approximately 80 nucleotides in length. Their secondary structure includes four short double-helical elements and three loops (D, anti-codon, and T loops). Further hydrogen bonds mediate the characteristic L-shaped molecular structure. tRNAs have two regions of fundamental functional importance: the anti-codon, which is responsible for specific mRNA codon recognition, and the 3' end, to which the tRNAs corresponding amino acid is attached (by aminoacyl-tRNA synthetases). tRNAs cope with the degeneracy of the genetic code in two manners: having more than one tRNA (with a specific anti-codon) for a particular amino acid; and 'wobble' base-pairing, i.e. permitting non-standard base-pairing at the 3rd anti-codon position. The record is from RNAcentral. Lineage: Bacteria; Thermotogati; Deinococcota; Deinococci; Thermales; Thermaceae.
AUACCCGUAGCUCAAUCGGUAGAGCGCCGGUCUCCAAAACCGGUGGUUGGGGGUUCGAAUCCCCCGGGUAUGCCA